This 383-nucleotide ribosomal RNA is filed under the name uncultured bacterium. RNAcentral's name for it is "bacterial SSU rRNA". It matches the Rfam family "Bacterial small subunit ribosomal RNA", at positions 28 to 416 of the family's 1533-position model. The record is from RNAcentral.
GACGAACGCUGGCGGCGUGCUUAACACAUGCAAGUCGAGCGGAAAGGCCCUUCGGGGUACUCGAGCGGCGAACGGGUGAGUAACACGUGAGUAACCUGCCCCAGACUUUGGGAUAACCCUCGGAAACGGGGGCUAAUACCGGAUACGACACAGGUUCGCAUGGGCUCUGUGUGGAAAGUUUUUCGGUUUGGGAUGGGCUCGCGGCCUAUCAGCUUGUUGGUGGGGUGAUGGCCUACCAAGGCGACGACGGGAGCCGGCCUGAGAGGGCGACCGGCCACACUGGGACUGAGACACGGCCCAGACUCCUACGGGAGGCAGCAGUGGGGAAUAUUGCACAAUGGGCGGAAGCCUGAUGCAGCGACGCCGCGUGAGGGAUGACGGCC